CGUAGGGUGCGAGCGUUAAUCGGAAUUACUGGGCGUAAAGCGUGCGCAGGCGGUUCGUUAAGUUCGAUGUGAAAGCCCCGGGCUCAACCUGGGAACUGCAUUGGAAACUGGCGAGCUUGAGUGUGGCAGAGGGGGUGGAAUUCCGCGUGUAGCAGUGAAAUGCGUAGAGAUGCGGAGGAACACCGAUGGCGAAGGCAGCCCCCUGGGCCAACACUGACGCUCAGGCACGAAAGCGUGGGGAGCAAACAGGAUUAGAUACCCUGGUAGUCCACGCCCUAAACGAUGCUCACUAGGUGUUGGGGAAGCGAUUCCUUGGUACCGUAGCUAACGCGUGAAGUGAGCCGCCUGGGGAGUACGGCCGCAGGGUUA
This 369-nucleotide ribosomal RNA is filed under the name uncultured organism. RNAcentral's name for it is "bacterial SSU rRNA". It matches the Rfam family "Bacterial small subunit ribosomal RNA", at positions 526 to 896 of the family's 1533-position model. The record is from RNAcentral.